RNAcentral lists this ribosomal RNA (396 nucleotides) under uncultured bacterium. Its description in RNAcentral is "partial 16S ribosomal RNA". It matches the Rfam family "Bacterial small subunit ribosomal RNA", at positions 338 to 732 of the family's 1533-position model. The record is from RNAcentral.
CCUACGGGUGGCAGCAGUGAGGAAUAUUGGUCAAUGGGCGGGAGCCUGAACCAGCCAAGCCGCGUGAGGGAAGAAGGUACAGCGUAUCGUAAACCUCUUUUGUCAAGGGACAAAGGCGGGGACUAGUCCCCGGCUGAGAGUACCUGAAGAAAAAGCAUCGGCUAACUCCGUGCCAGCAGCCGCGGUAAUACGGAGGAUGCAAGCGUUAUCCGGAUUUAUUGGGUUUAAAGGGUGCGCAGGCGGCAUGUUAAGUCAGCGGUAAAAGCCCGGGGUUAAACCCGGGCGAGCCGUUGAAACUGGCGGGCUAGAGUUGGAGAGAGGUACGCGGAAUGUGCGGUGUAGCGGUGAAAUGCUUAGAGAUCGCACAGAACCCCGAUUGCGAAGGCAGCGUACCGG